UCACCUGAGGUCAGGAGUUUGAGACCAGCCUGGCCAACAUGGUCAAGCAAAAAUCCUUAAGUGCCCCAUACACCUCAUCUGUUGCAAAUCAUCUCCCCCUGGGUUUGAAGACAAGGAAGCCAGCUGGAAUUUGAUCAAAACUAAAGGCCUUGAAGUCGUAAAGAGAAUUGUAAACAAGAAUUUAAUCUUUGAGAUGGUUAUCAUCAGUACCUAAAAUAGUGUUCUUUGUGGAUUAUCUAACGUUAUUACUGCAAAAUUCAUGUGGCUGGAGAAAAGGUGGUUGGUGUCUAAUGUCAGAAGCCUCACUAGCAAAUAAGGAACAGUAGCGGCAGCUGCAGUAAAUCUAGCUCUCCCCGCUGCUUCCUCUCCUGGAGCCAGCCGGCUAGAACCAGCCCAACAACAGGCCCAGCAGCAGUCUUCACAGUAGAAUAGCUAAACACUGAUCUAGCCUUUCUUCACCCACACCCCUCCUCCUCUUUCCUGCUCCAUCUCAGCACAUUAAACUGAGCUGUCUCUCUAACUAUGCUAAGAAAAUGCAGAUGCCAGACACAAAGGGCGGAAAGACCAUACAUUGGCUGAAUCACAGAAGAGAAAGAAUGGGUGGAAAGAAAAGACAGUCUUGGCAAGAGACAUGAUGUAGGUUUCCCCCUCCUUCUUUAAUUGUAUCUGGUUAAGAUUUUUUUUUCCCCUCUACUACAUAGAAAUUACUUGGGAGGCUCGUUUAAAAUGCAGACUCCUUCAUCUCUGCCUCUGACCUGAAUCAGCCUGUAUACCUGCAUUUCUUGAGCAACUCAAAGCAUCUAAAAUCAGCCACAUAUCUGCAUUUGGAAUAAGCAUACUAAAGGAUCCUUAGACACAUGAAAGUUUGAGCACAGUGUCUUAGAGACCAAAAUAGCCAUUUAUAAAAUGCUCUUUAUUUAAAGCUUUCGACAUGUAUAAACUCAUGUAGCCUCAGGUAACAUUCUGAGAGUAAAUAUUGUUAGUCCUCUCUGAUUGAAGAGAAAAUGAGGCAGUGAAAUCAAAUCAUUGGCGGCAAUUUGCUGAUCCUGAUGUCCUGUCUUUGGGAGGAUCUUAGAAGUAUAACAACCCGGGAAGAAUUGAAGAAUCAAAAAUGGAAUAAGAAAAUGUGGAAAAGCACAUCAGAUGUGUUCUCAUCUAAAGAAUAGAGGAAGUAUCAAGUAUUAAAGGAAAAACAACAACAACAAAAAACUUGAUGCAGGGAAACAGGACUGAAUUGGUAGAUAAUGCUUCCAUGCAGUUCAACCACAGAAAUGAUGAUAUGCAAACCACAUAAGGGCUAUGUGCAUCUGUCACACAUCUAUGUCACCAGCAGCACCUUGAAUGAUUAGUAAACAUUUACAGAUUAAAUGAAUGAAUGAAGUCUG
Long non-coding RNA from Cebus imitator (Panamanian white-faced capuchin), 1385 nucleotides. RefSeq lists it as uncharacterized. The record is from RefSeq and is a predicted model, not a curated record. Lineage: Eukaryota; Metazoa; Chordata; Mammalia; Primates; Cebidae. The transcript is spliced from 2 exons.